RNAcentral lists this unclassified non-coding RNA (200 nucleotides) under soil metagenome. RNAcentral's name for it is "partial contains internal transcribed spacer 2 and large subunit ribosomal RNA". The record is from RNAcentral.
UAGUCGGCUCUCCUUAAAAGUAUUAGCAGAACUUUUUGUAAGCCGUCUACAUAGUGUGAUAAUUAUCUACGCUAUUGAUGUUGCUUACGCUAAUAUAAUAAAAGUUCAGCUUUCUAAUAGUCCAUUUACUUGGACAAUAUCAAUAUUCGUAUUGAUGACCAUUUGACCUCAAAUCAAGUAGGACUACCCGCUGAACUUAA